This 45-nucleotide ribosomal RNA is filed under the name Hammondia hammondi. RNAcentral's name for it is "partial 18S ribosomal RNA". It matches the Rfam family "Eukaryotic small subunit ribosomal RNA", at positions 1786 to 1831 of the family's 1831-position model. The record is from RNAcentral. Lineage: Eukaryota; Apicomplexa; Conoidasida; Eucoccidiorida; Sarcocystidae.
AAGUCGUACAAGGUUUCCGUAGGUGAACCUGCGGAAGGAUCAUUC